Long non-coding RNA from Amphimedon queenslandica, 3261 nucleotides. RefSeq lists it as uncharacterized. The record is from RefSeq and is a predicted model, not a curated record. NCBI's taxonomy places the organism in Eukaryota, Metazoa, Porifera, Demospongiae, Haplosclerida, Niphatidae. The transcript has 8 exons.
UAGUAGAGAGCUACAAAAAAAGUUCAUCUGCUGUAGCAGUUUCACUCUUUUGUUCAUCAUCAUUCCUUUACAAGCUUUGGUACCAUGGCGGUCUUGUCCACUAUAAAGAGUGAUAAAAAUGGCUGAAAUUCCUAAAACAUUGCAAGAAGAAAUACCUCAAAUUCUCAAUUUUAGAUCUCAAGAAAUUGGUUUGUUUCUUUAUUUCAAGGAAGUCAAAGGUUUCAAGGAUUUAAUUAUUGUUGAUAUCAGCUCUUUUAUUUAUACCAUAACGGGUACAAUGCAUGCCAUAUCCUUCAUAAACAAGGCUACUUCUGAUAUAGGAAUAGUAUCAAGGCAUGAUCUGGAUCAAGUUCUUUCACUGACAAGCCACUCACCUAUUGAAAUGGCUUUUAUUAUUAACCUUCUUAAAGAUUACAAUAUACUACACUUUGAUCCAAAAAAUUAUUUUAUUCCAAAUUUCCUAUAAAUAGCUGAUACUCAUACUGCAUUACUGAAGAUGAAAUUAAAACAAAAAAUCCCACUCUGUUUCAAUUUAAGGCACUUCUAAUCCUAUUACUGUACUUUCAGCCUUGGCUACUGAGCUUCCCAAAGAAACUGUUUCUAAGUUUAGCUAUUAUUGUUGUGCGUGUAUAAUACUGGUUGUCCCUUACUGAUUAUUCUUGAGUCAAUUUGUUUUAACAACCACAUCAAGUUUCAUUCUCGCAAUAGAAUCAUUAGAGCUAUGAUUCAUUUUUCAUAUUUGAAUAUUCAAAUUGUUGGCGGCUCUGGAAAUCUCUCUAAUGUUUACAAGUUUAUAAAAAAAGUUAUUUUCAAUUUGCGGGAUAAGGCUCCUCCAUUUUUAUUGGAUUUUAUUGUUCCAGUGUUCAUCCAAGACCUCAUUUCAGCAAGCUGAAUAAUCCAGAAUAUGUGUCCAUGAUUUGUACUGAGUUUCCAGAGUGUACUAAUCAUCAAAAGGCUAUUGUUUUAUCUAGUCAUCAGGAAGAAUGGCUUGUUUGUUAUACACUAAUGACAAAGAACACAUCUUUUAAGUUUGGAAUUAUUGAAUUCAUUAGAGGAACAGAAUAACAGGAUGAAGUUUGAGGUUUGAUUUAGACGAUUACCAUCCAUACCAUUCAUUAUCAAUUUAUUUAGAAAGCUGAACUUUUAGAAAAAUUUGAACUGGCACGGAAAUAAUAAUAACAUAUUUGUACGUAGGCUGGGGACAAGUCUGAUUAGCCAGACUAUAGGCAUGCAUGCAGCAUAUUGUAUACUUGUAGCUAGAAAAAGCCAGAGAGAAGGAUUUCCUGCACAUAGCAAUAUGUUACAAGACAGAAUGAAGGCAAUACAAGGCAGAAUAAUAAAAAGACCAUAACAUUAAAAAGCUACUAAAUAAGGAGGUUGAUACAAUUAGUCACAUAAGCAUUAAAACUCCUUGUAAGCCAGUUAGGCAAUAAAAUUUUGGUGUAAUUUAGUUAGAAUUAGUUAAGGAACUGUCUCCACAAGGCAUUAGGGCUAUGAAAAAUUUUAUUCAUUUCUGUAGACAUAAUUUGUAAAGUAGCAGCAUGCAGUACUUAAACCAAUGGAAGAUGACUGGUACAUACUAGAUUUCCAGAAUUGGUGAAUCAAGUGGAGAACUUGAAAAAAGAUGGGAAGACAUAAUAUAUUAUGAGAACUUCACAAGUCAGUUUGUGGCAAUAGUAUUUUGCAUGAUUACCUGGUUCCAUUACAAGAUAAACUUGAUGACAUAGGGAGUUGUCUCAUUGCUGGGAGAAAAAAUAUUUUACUUCAAGGAGAAAAUGCUCACCAAAUGAAUUGGAAGAAUUAUGGUCCUAAUAUUAGUAUUAUAGAAGGAAGUCUACCUUUUGCAAAAAAGCCUUGUUGCAUUUGCAGGAGGGUCUUUUAUUUUUCCAGAAAACACUGUUCUUGCUAGUGCUAUGUAUGCUAUCUCUGUCUCUAAACAACCAAAGCAAUUCAAACUAGAGUUGCAGCAUUGUGUUAGAUUGAAGAAAGAGAUUCAAACAAAGUUUUUCAAAUUUGUAACAGCUCCCAUCAGCUCUGCUAGCAAUUCGCUUUCAUUCACAGCUGUAAAAGGUGGUCAAUUUCCCAUUGGAGUAGCUAUGGUUCGGUUAAGCAUAGUAAUAGUCUUGCCAUGCCGAAGGGGCGUGGUGAGACUAGCAUAGUAAAUAUUGUCUGAUGGGUAUCACAGCUGAUGAUCGAGUCUGAAGGUGAUAAACCAUUGGAUAAAUCUGAUAAACUAUCAACUAGAGUGUUUAAUAAUAUCAAUGAAGAUAUGGAGCACACUAUAAUGAUUUAUAAUGAGCAAAAAGGUAUUAAUAAUUCAGCUAUUUUUACUGCUGUAAAAAAAUUAGAUGCUUUACAUAAGGUAACAUAUCAAAUACAAGAAUAAAGUCCAUAGAUCUGUAAUUGGACACUGCAGUAUACCGAAGCUGAAUAUGCUGAUGCUGGUCAAAAUGUAUCUUAUUGUUUGAAAUGGCAGGAAAGUUUUUUGAGCUGCUAUUAAAACUUGACUCAAGCAGUGCCAUUAAAACAAAUAAUGUUUGGACUAUCCAGCCUCAGAUCAUAUGCCCUGCAAAUUGCAACAAAAAGAUACGGAUAAAUUUGGUCAAAACAAUUGGCUUCUUCCGCCAAAGUGCAUCAUAUCCAUCUCAUAUUCAUCACCGCAUACAGCAUCCCAUGACAGAACUGAGUCAGUAUUAAAUUAUUCUGUUCCUAUUGGCGGUGUGGUGGAACUUGUGACACUUUUUAUUCACAGAGAAGCAAGAGCUCUAAUUUUUCUAUUUCAUUUUUGUAUACUAGAUCCAGAUAUUGCAGCAAAGGCUAAUAUUUAGAAAAACCAUUUCCUGAACUGACUCGAUUGUUUUCUUUGGCACACAAUAGGUCAAGAAUUGCUACAGAAUUAUUGAGUGAAGAUCUCAUAGACGAAGCUAUAGCUUUGAUGCUGUUGAUGACAGUAGCAAAUCUGACAAUGACAAAGGAUUUGCUCAAUUAAAAAAGUGCCAAAAAUACUUUUUAUCAUUCGCAGCUGCUACUCUGAGGAGUCUCAUUAACUGUUUCAAGAGACAAGAUGCAUUUAUACUAUCAGCUGCAGAAAUGUUAAAAGAACUCAAGUAAUACAUAGCAUGAACAUUACGUAACUAUUACUCCAACAACAUUUUUAUUACACAUAUCCAACAAGUUGAUACUCAUACAUCAGUAUUCUUUAUACAUCACAGUUCUAUUUUUGGUCCUUCUCAGUUGUCUUAAUAAUACAUGAAAUUAUAA